GCCGUCAAAAUCGCCACCACUAAACCGGCGAAACCCACAAAACCUAAUCUCUCUGUCUUCGUCACAAAACCAAUCGCUGCCACCACCUUCACUCCGCCGUGGAAACCUACAAAACAACUUUACUGUUCCUCGCCGUUUACCUUCUUUUGUUAAACCUCGCAUCUGAAAUAUUGCCAUCGCGUCGGUAACUCCGACUCAAUAGAAGCUGAAGUUUCUGAUUUACUUAUUGAUGUUGGGCUUUGAGCUUACUGCAGGUGAUCUUUUGUUCAGACAUUGAAUGCAAGAGUCUCAAACGCCACCGGUAGCAACGAUUACUCUUUCAAACGACAAUCUGAUUUGGACGUUAAAAAGACUGGUAUUAGCAAUUGAUGCGGUCAAAGGAGGUCACAGUUUAGACGAUGCUAAGGAUGCAGUGACUCAGUGUAGAAGCAACACCGCUCAGCAAGCUCCUGACAACUACCAUUCUGACAUUUCGGUAAUGAUGUGUGCGUGGACCUCGCGUUGAUUGUUAUUGGUUCAACAUUCUGUUUUUUAUUGUUUGGUUUAUAAGGUUACCUUUGAUUUCGAUUAAUGCUGAUAAUGUCAUUUUCGCUUUUGAUUCGUAUGGAUGUCAUAAUGUUAUUUUCAUUCUGUGAUAUGGGGUGUGAUGGUAAAUGUUAAUGUUCAUUUUUUUGAGCUCUGAUAUUAAUUGGUUUAAUGUUAUCAUGAUGUUGUUGUCCUACCGUAGCUCGUACCGUUCCUUGUUUUUGACAUGAAUACUGUUUGGUACUCGGCAUUAAUAAUAAGUUGAAAACAUUGUGGUUGUUUUGAUUCUGUUUAUAAUUAGGGAUUUAUGCUGUUAGAUUUAACAUAGUGUUAGACUUAAUAUAGUGUUGGUCUUGAGCAUGUCCGGCAAUUCGUGUGUUUUACUGCAUUGUCAUUUUUUUUCUUAAUAUUGCCUGUUGCUGUAGAUUUUGAGGGAUGAAUUUCGGUGCCUAUUUCGAU
This 984-nucleotide long non-coding RNA is filed under the name Lathyrus oleraceus (garden pea). RNAcentral's name for it is "Pisum sativum (pea) long non-coding RNA (PSAT_LNC000041)". Lineage: Eukaryota; Viridiplantae; Streptophyta; Magnoliopsida; Fabales; Fabaceae. The record is from RNAcentral.